Homo sapiens (human) is the source of this 2638-nucleotide RNA transcript. It is a transcript of the gene named UBE2F pseudogene 1, with no coding region annotated. The transcript has a single exon. Lineage: Eukaryota; Metazoa; Chordata; Mammalia; Primates; Hominidae. The record is from RefSeq and is marked validated.
ACUUCUGAACCUGCCACCUGGAGUCGAUGUAGCUAUGAGGGGCCGUGUCUCACCACCACUGCCCAGGCCAGGCAUGGUGUUGGGCGCCAGGCCUGCCUCACCUGUCUUGGGGUGCCCAGGGUAAAGGCAGGAGUAGCGCUGACACCUGUAAGCAAACUGAAGUGCGAUGACAGUCUCGAAGGGUCUGGGACGUCAGCCAUAGCAUCCGGCCCCAGUCAGAGGGUUCUGUGAGAGACAAGUUGAUUGUUAAAGAGGUUGCAGAGCUUGAGCUUAUUUACCUUGUACAUGUCAAGAGUAUUUCCUGAUCUAAAAAGCUUCAUUGCUUUCUGCUGACUGUAACCCCAGACGAGGGUUACUACUAGGGUGGAAAAUUUCAGCUCGAAACUGGACUUCCUGAUGCAUACAAUGUGGUGCCUUCCAAAGUGAAAUGCCUGACCAGGAUCUGGUACCCUAACAUCAGAGAUAGGGGAAAUAUGUCUAAAGUUUACUGAGGACAUUCGAUUGACAGCACUGGCUGGGCUCCCACGAGAUCAUUAAAGGAUGUUAUUUGGAGAUUAAAUUAUUUGUUUACUAAUCUUCUGAAUUUUGACGAUCCACUGAAUGUUGAAGCUGCAGAACAUCAUUUGUAGGACAAGGAGGACUUCUUGAAUAAAGUCGAUGACUACAUCAAGUGUUAAUGCCAGAUGAUAAAAGGAGAAGAUUGCAGGCCCAUGGACUGUGUGUUACAGUUUGUCUCUAAUGUGAAAAAGCAGCAAGAGGCAUUGCCUUCUCUCCCCUGUCCCCUGACUCUCCCUCUCAUUCCCCUGGAUUGUCCCAGUCCUGUGACCAUGUUGUCCUGACGAAGACCAUCUUCAUGACUGCCCGUUGUAGAUGGAGAAUUCAACAUAAAGACAGCAAGAAAACGUAUUUAGGUUUCUAAAGAGUUAUCUGCUUGUCUUAUGUUUUAGGCUGUUCUUGCAUUGCUAUAAAUGCCCAAGACUGGGUGAUUUAUAAAGAAAAGAGGUUUAAUUGGCUUAUGGUUUGGCAGGCUGUAGAAGCAUGGCACUGGCAUCUACUUGGCUUCUGGGGAGGCCUCAGGGAGCUUUUACUCAUGGUGGAAGGUGAAGCAGGAGCAGGCACAUCAUAUGGCGAGAGUGGAAACGAGAGCGCAAGGGGGACAGCCAGAUCUCACGAGAACUUACUGUUGUGUUGAAAGCACCACGUCGUGAGGGAUCCACCCCGAUGACCCAAAUACCUCCCACCAGGCCUCACCUCCAACACUGGGGAUUACAUCUCAACAUGAUAUUUGGAAGAGACAUCUAAACUAUAUCACCUUAACAUGUUUACUUUUUUGAACUCGUACUGUUUAGGCUGUUGGUGAUACUCUUGAGAAGUUGUAAUGAACUCAAAAUUGAGGCUGGAGCUUUCUUAUUCUUUUCCCCAACAAAAUUGGUUUUCUCCCGAAGUGAUGCUCAUGAUGUGUUCAGUGUAACUUGCAGAUUGGAAUAAGAAACCUGCUACAAAUUGUGAUUGGAUACAAAUGCCCUUAUCCUCUGUGAAUGUUGGCCCUAUCUACAUGUUAUGAAGUUUCCCAGAAUGCAUAAAGUCUUUCACUGUAGACAUUUUUAUUGAAAUGCAUAUUUUAUUUAAGUAUAUUUUGGACCAAUUAAAUUAAAUUUUUACAAUGUAAUGCUUUAUUUUUUGUGUUCUCAUUUUGUAUUUUGUAUUUUCAUUGUAUAGGGCAAAGACGUUGGGUUGGCCGAGCAUGGUAGCUCACGCUUGUAAUUCUAGCACUUUGGGACCAGAGGCCGAGGUGGGCGGAUUGUGUGAGCCCCGGAGUUGAGACCAGCUGGCUGGGGCAACAUGGUGAAACCCUGUCUCUACAAAAAAUACAAAAAUUAGCCAGGCAUGGUGACACGUGCUUGUAGUUCCAGCUACUCAGGAGGCUGAGGUGGGAGGAUUGCCUGAGCCCAGGGAGGUUGAGGCUGUGAUGAGCUGGGAUCAUGCCCUGGGCAACAGAGUGAGACCCUGUCUCAAAAAAAAAAAAAAAAAAAAGUAGGAAAAAUGUUGGGUCAACCACCUAUUGAAGAGAAAUACAAAGAAACUAUGAAAGGCAUUAUUCAUUUUGUCCAAAUGCAACAAGAAUAUGGCUCUGAAAAGUCAUCUCUUGCUCUCAGGUCCACAUGUGGCAAGGACAUUUUGGAGCUCUUUGAAACUAGAUCUGGAUGAUAAAAAUAAAAACAAACAAACAAAAAGGCAGGAAGCCCAUUCUCACAUGCUGCCCAGAGGAAACUGGCUGGAGCUGGGACCUGCUGGGGUUGGUGUUCUUGCAGUGAUCUUAUGAUCGUGAGCCAGUAGCUACUUAGAGUGCCAAACCCUGGCUGUCCUGAGGGACAGGAUAGAUACUCAGGAAUCAGCCCAAACAAUGUCUGAUGCUACUGAGACUGUACCUGUGGCCGCCUUCUGCAUUUGCUUUGACUCCGGGCCCUGCCUGGGGAUGAGCCUCUUAGGCCUUAGAGGACCAGGAUUCAGCAACAGCAUAUGCCAUACUUGGCCAGAUUAACACACAUUGGAGGAAGAGCCCAGAAGAAAGACAGGUGGAUUUACUCCAGCUUUUAAACAUUUGAACCAAUGAAAUCAAAUGCGAAAUAAAUGUUUG